Molecule: transfer RNA, 31 nt
Filed under: Phleum phleoides (purple-stem cat's-tail)
Lineage: Eukaryota; Viridiplantae; Streptophyta; Magnoliopsida; Poales; Poaceae
Also listed under: 1 other name
Description: partial tRNA-Phe
Source: RNAcentral
GUCAGGAUAGCUCAGUGAAGCAAAACCUCCC